UACGUAGGGUGCAAGCGUUUAAUCGGAAUUACUGGGCGUAAAGCGUGCGCAGGCGGUGAUGUAAGACAGGUGUGAAAUCCCCGGGCUUAACCUGGGAACUGCAUUUGUGACUGCAUCGCUGGAGUGCGGCAGAGGGGAUGGAAUUCCGCGUGUAGCAGUGAAAUGCGUAGAUAUGCGGAGGAACACCGAUGGCGAAGGCAAUCCCCUGGGCCUGCACUGACGCUCAUGCACGAAAGCGUGGGAGCAACAGG
Molecule: ribosomal RNA, 251 nt
Filed under: uncultured bacterium
Lineage: Bacteria
Description: partial 16S ribosomal RNA
Rfam family: Bacterial small subunit ribosomal RNA
Source: RNAcentral